AGUGCUUUACCGUGAAGGAAGACUACAGGAAUUUCUGCUCAGCAGCAGUGCCACAGCCAGUUCCUGGGGAAAAUGACUUAAAUCUCUGGGGCCUUGUUACAUUCCCACAGUUAACACAUUUAAACAUUUUGCUGGAUGAGGAGAUAGAAACGUCUUGUCUGAUGAAAAGCACGUUUUGCAAGGCUUGACAAAUGUGAUGUUCACCUUGAGCCAAUGUGGAACACUGUGAAGUGUGUACAGUAUCUUCUAUCUGUGUUUCUUUGUAUAUGCUACAUGAACUAAAUCCCAAAUAAUCCUGCGGAACAAGGAAUGGUUUCAUCUCCCUGUCACAGAUCCGAGUUGGAGGCACAGACAAAACAAUACUUUGCAGGGAAUUACAGUACCAGCUAGAAGAAGAUCCGGGUUUUCAUCAUGACUCCUGACAUUCGUCCUUGCCAGUAAAACAUAUCCCCCUUUCAAUGCCACAGGAUGUUUUAUAAUAGGGGGAAAAAUGUUUUAGCAGAACUGUUCUACAUUAAAAGGAAGCAUUUAUUUUCAUUGGUAUCAGCUCAGUGAAGGCUUGACCCUGGGACCACAAUGGGAGUUUUAUCCUUGACUUUAAUGGAAGAAUAAUCAAGGUCUCGUGAUAUUACAUCCUAAAGAAAGGCAAAUACUGCAGUUUGUAUCAAUAAGAUAAAUGUCUCACAUUUAGUGUAAGCCGCUGUAUUCUUGCAAUAAAUGGUUUAUUAGAUUGAUUAAAUGUCUUAACUUCACCUCAGCUAUUAAUCACUUUUGGCAGCUGUUUACUGCUUUGUAUACUUUGAAGUAAUGGAGAUUAUUCCUUAAUUAUCUCAUUGCAGUUCAGUCAUUGUUUCCUAAAUAGUGCCAUUAGAAUGGUAAAUUGCAACAGUAAAACAGUGUCAAUAUGGAGUUAUGGAGUUCCCAUUUUAUGACGCAUUCAUAAAGUUAACACAAUCUACUUAAAACAUGGCUGUGAUUUCCACACAGUGACCUAUUUGAUAUGGCAGAAGAGGUUUUGAUGAGAAAACAGUAGAGCAUUAAGUGUGCCGGGACUCUGCUUUCACCAAAGUAAAACACAGAGUAUUCCCUGUUGGAAUAUAUGUGCAUAUCAGAAUUUAUUAAGCCAGUGCUUGUUUGAUCACCUUCAGUUUCAGUAAGUGCUGUGAAUUCCAAGAAUUUUGUGCCUUUGAAUACAACGUGUUUAUUUCUAUGCAAAAAGAAAUGAGAAAACUCCAAGCAAUGUUAUCAUUUAGAGGUUACCAUUGUCAUUCUGCAGAAGGAUAAGAGAGUACAAGA
Long non-coding RNA from Neopelma chrysocephalum (saffron-crested tyrant-manakin), 1296 nucleotides. RefSeq lists it as uncharacterized. Lineage: Eukaryota; Metazoa; Chordata; Aves; Passeriformes; Pipridae. The transcript is spliced from 3 exons. The record is from RefSeq and is a predicted model, not a curated record.